Molecule: ribosomal RNA, 318 nt
Filed under: uncultured Pseudomonadota bacterium
Lineage: Bacteria; Pseudomonadati; Pseudomonadota
Description: bacterial SSU rRNA
Rfam family: Bacterial small subunit ribosomal RNA
Source: RNAcentral
AUUGAACGCUGGCGGUAUGCUUAACACAUGCAAGUCGGACGGUAGCAGGCCUUCGGGCGCUGACGAGUGGCGGACGGGUGAGUAAUGCAUAGGAAUCUGCCUGUUAGUGGGGGACAACUUAGGGAAACUUAAGCUAAUACCGCAUACGCCCUUAGGGGGAAAGCGGGGACCGUAAGGCCUCGCGCUAACAGAUGAGCCUAUGUUGGAUUAGCUGGUUGGCGGGGUAAAGGCCCACCAAGGCGACGAUCCAUAGCUGGUCUGAGAGGAUGGCCAGCCACACUGGGACUGAGACACGGCCCAGACUCCUACGGGAGGCAG